Molecule: long non-coding RNA, 2141 nt
Organism: Cyprinus carpio carpio
Lineage: Eukaryota; Metazoa; Chordata; Actinopteri; Cypriniformes; Cyprinidae
Source: Ensembl
CUUCAGUCGAGUUGUGGCAGAUCGUAGGACAUUACAAAGAUUUAAUAUACUCAAAAGCAAAUUAUUUAUGACUUCUGUGUACAUAAGUCUGACACCACUUAUUAUGCUUCUCUUUGAGAACAAGAUUAGAGCUCGCAUGAACUUCACAAGCAGAGCAAACCUGAGCAUCAUCUUCUCCAGCAUGAUUUAAAAUAGUUUCAAAGAACAUCUGAUGUACAAGAAGAAAGCUAGAAAUUUUACAUAAUACUUGAAAUAUUUUCUAAAUUAACAAUUUUAGACAUUUUUCAAAGUUGUAAAUAAAACAAAGAUUACUAUUGUUUUACAAGAAAAUACUGUUUCGGUCUUUAACAUUCAAUUAAAUGUGUUACAUGCCGUUUCUUUGUGAUUUGUGAAAUUUACAAGCAAUUUCUGAGUGAACAUUGCUCCAAAGUAAAUCCUACCCCAAAUUUCUGGGAAUGACACAUGUACAAAACAAAAAAUAAAAAAGGUUAUGCAGUAUAUACAUUAUGUACUACACAGUAUGCAGUGCAAUACGUUGCAUUCUAUUGUACUAUUAUUGACUGUGCCUCCAACGAAAAAGAUCAAGUUCUGUUGUAAGGUAAUACAUCAGAAGCAGCUUUACAGUACAUUUAUUUCUGGGAUAUUUUUAGAAAAUGCUCAGACAUUCUCAAUGUCGCUCACCAGUGCAGUGAGAUUCCGUUAUCGAUCAAACUAAGAGUGCACAAGAAAGUUGAGAUGGACACUGUUCACUAGCAAUUAUACAGUAUAGCGGUUUAAAAGGAAGGGCCUAUAUCGAAGGAAGGAAGAAGAAAUGAGUAGCAUGCCGAAUCCACAUCCUGUUAUUCUGAGUAUAAAUAUCACUUACAAAGGGCCUUUGAUCACUUUCCUACCUUUCAUAAGAGUCCUGUCGUGUUUCUACUGCUUGAAUCAAAUAAGUGUUUUUUUCUGCAUUAUGUUCCUAGAAUUUCCACAUAUAUGAAAUUACAGAGUGGUUUAAAAUCUGGUAUAUAUCCUAAACAUUAUGUGUCAUGCAAGGAAAAGCAUUAUUUAUUGGUUACAUUUUUAAGGUGACACAAAUUAGACAUGACUGAAAAUACAAAUACUUUUUAAUUUGACAUGGUCAAAGAGGAAAAAGAGUUCAUAUUUUAAAAGAUAUAUUGGUUAUAUUGGAGAAUCACCAUCAAUAAGACUGAUCAUAAGGUAUUAAAAGUACCAUCUGAGUAACCAUUGCAGCUGACUGAGAAACACAAACUGACUCACCAGCCCACUUCUGGAAUCUCAUGUAUUUGUGAGCAAAAGAAAUGAUGUAUAGUAUUGGUUUUCUGUCAUUUUUGGAUGGUGAAAAGGGGUCUAGAAGUGACUGGAGGGAGGGAUUGAAAAAAAAACUUGCUAAGGGCAACCAAAAAUGAAAGUUGUAGGAAAGAUUGUGAUGAAUCAUACUUAAUAAAACAGUUGUGUAUUAAGAGAAUGAAUAAGGUUGAUUUUUAUUUAAUGGUAACUAGCUUAUACCAUAGCUUUUGCGCACUUUUUGCGCAGUAAUAAGGUCUAUAGCUACAGGUCAAUGUACACAUACACUCUUACAAAUAAAGGUGCAGUUCCCAAAGUUCCCCACAUGUAGUUCCCCGAAGAACCUUUCAGUUAAUGGUUAGAAGAACCAUUGUUUUUCCUAGGCUACUGGGAAGAACCCUUUUCCACUAUAAAGAACAUUUUGUGCAUUGAAGGGUUCCAACGGAACUCUGUAUGGAACCAUAGAUGCCAGUAAAGAAGCAUGAUUUCUAAGAGUGGACUGCGAGUAAACGCCUUGUAGAUGAGGGAAUACCUACUGGUUUGCGUGUUGGCGUGAGCUGCACGGAGUGAUAGAACUCGGGCUGGACUCUCUUCUUCACUCUGCGCUUCCUCACGGCCGCGCUCGAGUCCGGCUCGCUCUCGAUGAGCGCCUUCUCUUCAGAAACGCGCGCGCGUGCGCUUCUCCUCGCAUGACGUGGACUGUGACGACAUACCUGUCAGACAAUGACCAUAACAUCAUCGCAAAGCAAGAACUGUUAGGCGCUGCAAUUGCAGUCUUUUGUUGUUUAUUAAUUUUCACAUAUUUACUUCUUGUAAGCAUGUAAUAUUUAUAUAAAAGUAGUCUUUUCUGGAUU